RNAcentral lists this ribosomal RNA (253 nucleotides) under uncultured bacterium. RNAcentral describes it as "partial 16S ribosomal RNA". It matches the Rfam family "Bacterial small subunit ribosomal RNA", at positions 524 to 776 of the family's 1533-position model. The record is from RNAcentral.
GACGGAAGGUGCAAGCGUUGCUCGGAAUCACUGGGCGUAAAGGGUGCGUAGGCGGCUUGGUAAGUUGGGUGUGAAAGCCCCGGGCUCAGCCCGGGAAGGGCACUCGAAACUGCCGAGCUGGAGUGCCGGAGGGGAGAGUGGAAUUCCUGGUGUAGCGGUGAAAUGCGCAGAUAUCAGGAGGAACACCGGUGGCGAAGGCGGGUCUCUGGGCCGAUACUGACGCUGAGGAGCGAAAGUGUGGGGAGCGAACAGG